This is a non-coding RNA of Paramuricea clavata, 212 nucleotides long. The record is from the annotation of a GenBank genome assembly. Lineage: Eukaryota; Metazoa; Cnidaria; Anthozoa; Malacalcyonacea; Plexauridae.
AGACUAUAUUAUAUCACUAUUAAUUUUUUUGUUUCUUAAUGUUUCCUGUUAUUUUUAUGUAUGUAUCUAUAUAUAAUACUGUAUAUAACGGCACUGUAAUGCAACCUGCUUACAAGUUGAGUUGUUCUGUGUAAAUCAAGCACACAAGUCGCCUAUAAUAUGCUUUACGUUAUCAUCUACAGAUCUACUGCUCGUCACAUUUUUGAACAUGG